RNAcentral lists this long non-coding RNA (619 nucleotides) under Homo sapiens (human). RNAcentral describes it as "non-protein coding lnc-CLEC2D-8:16". Lineage: Eukaryota; Metazoa; Chordata; Mammalia; Primates; Hominidae. The record is from RNAcentral.
ACAGGGCUAAAGCCUGAACAGGUGGAGUGGCUAACCAAGGAGUUCUCCAUCUAUAUGACAAAGGACGGCCGCAUUUCUGUGGCAGGGGUCACCUCCGGCAACGUGGGCUACCUUGCCCAUGCCAUUCACCAGGUCACCAAGUAAUGUACCUGGUGCAAGGAAACAGAGACGACCUUUCUGUCUUCAGCCUCUGCUAUUGGGAGCUUCACACAGAGGAUGAGAGAGAGCGGAUGGUGAUAAAACUCUGCAAAGACAAUGUCUAGCACUUAUAUCUCCAGUAACUCCUGUCAAGGUUUAUUGUUGCUUGUUCAUCAUUGCAGUCCUGACUACAAGUGUGAUUGCACUUUCUAUUGUUUUGUCAGAAUUUCCUGAAAAGAUACAAAGGCCCUUCUGACCAUUGGAUUGGCCUUAGAAGAGAAUCAUCCCAUCGCAUUUGGAAAUGGACAGACAACAUGGAAUAUAAUAACAUGCUUGCUAUCAGAGGAAGUGGAGAAUGUGCCUUCCUGAAUGACAAUGGAGUCAACAGUGGCAGAAUCUACAUGAACAGAAAAUGGAUUUGUAGCAAGCCAAACAAUUAUGUCUACAGUUGCCAGUUAUGUCCCCACUGGGAUACUACCUA